GACGAACGCUGGCGGCGUGCUUAACACAUGCAAGUCGAACGGAAAGGCCCUGCUUGCUGGGUACUCGAGUGGCGAACGGGUGAGUAACACGUGGGUGAUCUGCCCUGCACUUCGGGCUACGUCUCGGAAACUGGGCUAAAUACCGGAUCGGAGCCAUUUUUAGUGUGAUGGUUGGAAAGUUUUUUCGGUGUAGGAUGAGCCGGCGGCCUAUCAGCUUGUUGGUGGGGUAAUGGCCUACCAAGGCGGCGACGGGUAGCCGGCCUGAGAGGGUGGACGGCCACAUUGGGACUGAGGGACGGCCCAGACGCCAACGUGAGGCAACAGGGGGAAAGAUUGCACAAGGAGCGCAAGCCUGAUGCAGCGGCGCCUCGGGUGGGAUGACGUCCUUCGGAUUGUAAACUCCUUGCGCUAGUGACGAGGCGUUUUGUGACGGUACCUAGAGAAGAAGCACCGGCUAACUACGUG
RNAcentral lists this ribosomal RNA (465 nucleotides) under uncultured bacterium. RNAcentral's name for it is "partial 16S ribosomal RNA". It matches the Rfam family "Bacterial small subunit ribosomal RNA", at positions 28 to 507 of the family's 1533-position model. The record is from RNAcentral.